UGGGGAAUAUUGGACAAUGGGCGCAAGCCUGAUCCAGCCAUGCCGCGUGCAGGAAGAAGGCGUUAUGCGUUGUAAACUGCUUUUUGCCAGGGGAUAAAAAGACCGUGCGCGGUUAAUUGAAGGUACCUGGUGAAUAAGCCACGGCUAACUACGUGCCAGCAGCCGCGGUAAUACGUAGGUGGCAAGCGUUGUCCGGAUUUAUUGGGUUUAAAGGGUGCGUAGGUGGCCCUGUAAGUCAGUGGUGAAAUAUCUCAGCUUAACUGAGAGGGUGCCAUUGAUACUGCAGGGCUUGAGUACAGAUGAGGUAGGCGGAAUUGACGGUGUAGCGGUGAAAUGCGUAGAUAUCAAGAGGAACACCUGAGGUGAAGACGGGUUGCUGGGCUGACACUGACGCUGAGGCGCGAAAGCCAGGGGAGCAAACGGGAUUAGAUACCCUUGUAGUCCCUGAGCGGGCUGGCAAGGCGCAU
RNAcentral lists this ribosomal RNA (467 nucleotides) under uncultured bacterium. Its description in RNAcentral is "bacterial SSU rRNA". It matches the Rfam family "Bacterial small subunit ribosomal RNA", at positions 355 to 825 of the family's 1533-position model. The record is from RNAcentral.